GGAGUCGUAUCGAAGCGGCCGUAACGAGGCGCACUCGAAAUGCGUUUGUCGGUUCAUCCCGGCACGAGGGUUCGAAUCCCUCCGACUCCG
Molecule: transfer RNA, 90 nt
Filed under: Bilifractor porci
Lineage: Bacteria; Bacillati; Bacillota; Clostridia; Lachnospirales; Lachnospiraceae
Description: tRNA-Ser
Rfam family: tRNA
About the family: Transfer RNA (tRNA) molecules are approximately 80 nucleotides in length. Their secondary structure includes four short double-helical elements and three loops (D, anti-codon, and T loops).
Source: RNAcentral